Molecule: long non-coding RNA, 1425 nt
Organism: Oncorhynchus keta (chum salmon)
Lineage: Eukaryota; Metazoa; Chordata; Actinopteri; Salmoniformes; Salmonidae
Exons: 5
Source: RefSeq, a predicted model, not a curated record
GUUAUGUUACGCUCCGCUCUUUUCAAUGCACAUGUAAGCAAAUGUCCCAAAAAAACAAACGAAAAUGAUAUCGUCAUUGAUUUAGUGUUGCGCUACAGUUUUUAGGAAUAUAUAUUAGUGUGAAUGGCGAAAAUGUUUGAUUGCAACUUUGCAAGGCUUGCCCAGCCACCGUUACCUUUGCGGGUCUCUCAGGUGCAGACAGUUUUCAGACAGGAAUUCAGCAGUCUUUUGUCAGGCUGAUAUAGUUGUGUAUGGCAGUCCAGACGGCAGCAUCAAGCUUGGCUUUGUAUUUGUAUCCAUUCCAUGCAGUCACUAAAAGAGAGACAACCAGCAGAAUUGUGUCGAGACUUGUCUUCCACCUACACCUCACCAGAACACAACGCAGAAAGGAACAAGUGCGGGUGCCGAGCACUUUCAGGCCUGCCUCCUUGAAGGGUUGGUUGGGUGGAAUGAGGACCGUGCUGAAGCAGAGGGGGGCGCGCGCAGAAGCAGACCCUGCACUGCUAUGAUGGUGUAGCCCAGCACGCCAUCAUUGAGCUGAGCCAGAAGCUCCUGGGCUGCAGUCUUGUGAAGGAUCACACAAGGCCUGCAAAGUACACUGGGGAACUCAUUGGGGUCGAGUAUCUCUUCUCCCAGACCCAUGGUGACCAGAGGUUGGAGUCCAACCUCGGUAAGGACCCAGACGGGACACCUACUCUAUUUGAGGGAGAGGAGGAUGACCCCACCAUGUCCUUGCCCGACCUCGAUGACCGUCUCCCACUAGUCUCUCCACUCAGGAAGGCCCCUCCACCGCCCACUCAACCCAUCCCAGGUACCUGUCGUCACACCCCCUGAUGACACUGCACCAGCUGCCAGUCAGGUCCCGGAAGAUGAUGAGAACAUAGGACCUGAUGGGGUUAGUGGAUACCAGCACGUGGUCCUCCUGGCCACUAGUCAGCCACUGUCACCUCCACCCAGUCUGUCUUCUACCUCCCUCCCUAUAACGCCAGUCUUCCAAGACCUACCCAAGGUCUCCAGGACCACCAAAUGAAUGAGGAGGAAGAAGCUGGAGUCUGGCAUUAAAGUCAGAGCGCACAAGCCAUACGAAGGCUAUAAGUGCUCUAAAUGUGGCAAGCCUAAAACUUCUGAGUUUGGACACAGUAUGUAUGGUUCUGUGAGAUUCUGUGCCGCUAUCUCUGGUGGCCAAACUAUGGAGGAGUGGCUGGCACUCAUGUGGGCCCAGCAUGGUGCUAUAGCCAAGGCCAGUAAAAUCUGACUGACUCGUGUUACAUUAUAAAGUAGUUUUUGUAAAAAAUGUACGACAUUCAUUGUUAAUCUCUUGUACAUUUAGCUAUUUUAAAAUCACCUUAACUUGUACAGUCGGUGUAGGGGACAUUAUGCUGGGUUGCUUCACACAUGACAUUCCCUGUGAAAUAAAUAAAUGAA